RNAcentral lists this long non-coding RNA (1534 nucleotides) under Sus scrofa (pig). RNAcentral describes it as "lncRNA (ENSSSCG00000062664.1, ENSSSCG00105025538.1, ENSSSCG00130028521.1, ENSSSCG00160040332.1)". Lineage: Eukaryota; Metazoa; Chordata; Mammalia; Artiodactyla; Suidae. The record is from RNAcentral.
GGGAGGGGAACUGUCCCAGAGAGCAGGUGGCCAAUCAUCACUGUCACCAAAAACUGUGUGGUGCUGACUGAAGAGUCAACACAAGAAAAUGACCUCGUAGGAUGCAUUUUUGUUGAAGGCUGUCAUGUUAGGUUGAACCACGUGAAAGUACCAUUUUUGAAGGCCAGGAUUGCUCAAAUAUUGACACUUUCCAAUGAUUCAACUUACCAUUUUGUCCUUUAGGAAGACAGACAUUGGAACGAGUUGCUGCAGGGAGGCUGUGAGGUUUUUUCUCCUGAAAAUAUUUGAUAAGAGACUUAACAAUUAAUUGUCCUGGAUGAUUUAGACAUUUGAGUUUCCUGAAAGCAGGGGGCAGGCAAGAAAAUCUGUGAAGAUUAAUCUAUCCGUUUCUUUCCUUGAGGAGAACAACUCUGUUUUCCUUGGAUACUAAUGGAAACUGUGGGUAGAGUCUGGGCCUUUAUGGGAAAAAAUCCAUGACUAUUUUCUUCUUCCAUUGUUGUAGGGACAUUUCUCUACACAGGGUUUCUCAACCUUGGCACUCAUGCCAUUGGGGUGAGGUACUUCUUUGCUGUGGGGGCUGUCUUGUGCAUUGUAUGAUGCUUAGCAGCAUCACUGGCCUUGACCCACUGGAUGCGAGUAGCGCCCCCUACUGCAUUGUGAAAACCACGGGUGUCUUCAAACAUUGCCACAUGUCCUCUGGGGUUCCAAAUUGUUCCUAGUUGAGAACCACUACUCUAGAUAGCAGUCCCCAACUUGAAGACUUGUCUACUCAGAUCCUGGCAAUAUAAGACCUGACACUCCACCUGCUCUCUCUCCCUUUCCUGCCCCUACAUCCAGCCUUGAGUGCUCUUGGCCAGUUUCCUUGAGGUAACAUGCUUAGAGAUUCUGAAAUGCUUAAGGGUUCUUCUGGCCUUUUAAAGGAAUGCUUGAUUGAGCUGUAUAGAAAACUCAAAUUUCCAGUGGGGAAUCUGGUUAUCAUCAUCAAUUGUCAUUGUUAUCUGUGAUAUAUUACAUUCUGAGGCUCUGUGACCAGGCAUUAUUGCUCAUUCUUCCUGAUCAUCUGUGUAACAUGAACCUGCCCAGUCAGGUUACCACUGUGCCAUUUAGUGGCCUAGCAGUCUCCCGUAGGUGGAUCCCCAGAGGUCUCACACACAUGCUUAGAACUGGAGGACAGUCUGGCUCUAAGUUGCAUAGAGGUACACAGGAUCUGUGACGCUCUUGGACAAUUUAAACCUUUAAGGUUUCUCUCUGGAGGCUUGUUCUUUCCUGAGUGUUCCCUCUCACCCCCUGACCUGAGUGGACUCAGGUUAUGUAGACAGUUGAUUCCAUGGCUCGGCCCUGAGGAGGAGAGGGUGGUAUGUGGGUGAAAGCCCUUUUUGUUGUCCCUUGCAGCUGGAGUUGACUUAGUGCUUCCUUUUUUCCCCCCCACUGAGCUACCUAGACCUGGUGGGGGCUCUGUCUGUGUGUGCUAAGAAAACACAGAACAGCACAAAUUGGCAAAACAUUGUAAAUCAACUAUACUUUAAUAAAAAAU